This 2930-nucleotide ribosomal RNA is filed under the name Escherichia coli. RNAcentral describes it as "23S ribosomal RNA". It matches the Rfam family "Bacterial large subunit ribosomal RNA". Lineage: Bacteria; Pseudomonadati; Pseudomonadota; Gammaproteobacteria; Enterobacterales; Enterobacteriaceae. The record is from RNAcentral.
GGGUUGUGAGGUUAAGCGACUAAGCGUACACGGUGGAUGCCCUGGCAGUCAGAGGCGAUGAAGGACGUGCUAAUCUGCGAUAAGCGUCGGUAAGGUGAUAUGAACCGUUAUAACCGGCGAUUUCCGAAUGGGGAAACCCAGUGUGUUUCGACACACUAUCAUUAACUGAAUCCAUAGGUUAAUGAGGCGAACCGGGGGAACUGAAACAUCUAAGUACCCCGAGGAAAAGAAAUCAACCGAGAUUCCCCCAGUAGCGGCGAGCGAACGGGGAGCAGCCCAGAGCCUGAAUCAGUAUGUGUGUUAGUGGAAGCGUCUGGAAAGGCGCGCGAUACAGGGUGACAGCCCCGUACACAAAAAUGCACAUGCUGUGAGCUCGAUGAGUAGGGCGGGACACGUGGUAUCCUGUCUGAAUAUGGGGGGACCAUCCUCCAAGGCUAAAUACUCCUGACUGACCGAUAGUGAACCAGUACCGUGAGGGAAAGGCGAAAAGAACCCCGGCGAGGGGAGUGAAAAAGAACCUGAAACCGUGUACGUACAAGCAGUGGGAGCACGCUUAGGCGUGUGACUGCGUACCUUUUGUAUAAUGGGUCAGCGACUUAUAUUCUGUAGCAAGGUUAACCGAAUAGGGGAGCCGAAGGGAAACCGAGUCUUAACUGGGCGUUAAGUUGCAGGGUAUAGACCCGAAACCCGGUGAUCUAGCCAUGGGCAGGUUGAAGGUUGGGUAACACUAACUGGAGGACCGAACCGACUAAUGUUGAAAAAUUAGCGGAUGACUUGUGGCUGGGGGUGAAAGGCCAAUCAAACCGGGAGAUAGCUGGUUCUCCCCGAAAGCUAUUUAGGUAGCGCCUCGUGAAUUCAUCUCCGGGGGUAGAGCACUGUUUCGGCAAGGGGGUCAUCCCGACUUACCAACCCGAUGCAAACUGCGAAUACCGGAGAAUGUUAUCACGGGAGACACACGGCGGGUGCUAACGUCCGUCGUGAAGAGGGAAACAACCCAGACCGCCAGCUAAGGUCCCAAAGUCAUGGUUAAGUGGGAAACGAUGUGGGAAGGCCCAGACAGCCAGGAUGUUGGCUUAGAAGCAGCCAUCAUUUAAAGAAAGCGUAAUAGCUCACUGGUCGAGUCGGCCUGCGCGGAAGAUGUAACGGGGCUAAACCAUGCACCGAAGCUGCGGCAGCGACGCUGAUGCGUUGUUGGGUAGGGGAGCGUUCUGUAAGCCUGCGAAGGUGUGCUGUGAGGCAUGCUGGAGGUAUCAGAAGUGCGAAUGCUGACAUAAGUAACGAUAAAGCGGGUGAAAAGCCCGCUCGCCGGAAGACCAAGGGUUCCUGUCCAACGUUAAUCGGGGCAGGGUGAGUCGACCCCUAAGGCGAGGCCGAAAGGCGUAGUCGAUGGGAAACAGGUUAAUAUUCCUGUACUUGGUGUUACUGCGAAGGGGGGACGGAGAAGGCUAUGUUGGCCGGGCGACGGUUGUCCCGGUUUAAGCGUGUAGGCUGGUUUUCCAGGCAAAUCCGGAAAAUCAAGGCUGAGGCGUGAUGACGAGGCACUACGGUGCUGAAGCAACAAAUGCCCUGCUUCCAGGAAAAGCCUCUAAGCAUCAGGUAACAUCAAAUCGUACCCCAAACCGACACAGGUGGUCAGGUAGAGAAUACCAAGGCGCUUGAGAGAACUCGGGUGAAGGAACUAGGCAAAAUGGUGCCGUAACUUCGGGAGAAGGCACGCUGAUAUGUAGGUGAAGUCCCUCGCGGAUGGAGCUGAAAUCAGUCGAAGAUACCAGCUGGCUGCAACUGUUUAUUAAAAACACAGCACUGUGCAAACACGAAAGUGGACGUAUACGGUGUGACGCCUGCCCGGUGCCGGAAGGUUAAUUGAUGGGGUCAGCGCAAGCGAAGCUCUUGAUCGAAGCCCCGGUAAACGGCGGCCGUAACUAUAACGGUCCUAAGGUAGCGAAAUUCCUUGUCGGGUAAGUUCCGACCUGCACGAAUGGCGUAAUGAUGGCCAGGCUGUCUCCACCCGAGACUCAGUGAAAUUGAACUCGCUGUGAAGAUGCAGUGUACCCGCGGCAAGACGGAAAGACCCCGUGAACCUUUACUAUAGCUUGACACUGAACAUUGAGCCUUGAUGUGUAGGAUAGGUGGGAGGCUUUGAAGUGUGGACGCCAGUCUGCAUGGAGCCGACCUUGAAAUACCACCCUUUAAUGUUUGAUGUUCUAACGUUGACCCGUAAUCCGGGUUGCGGACAGUGUCUGGUGGGUAGUUUGACUGGGGCGGUCUCCUCCUAAAGAGUAACGGAGGAGCACGAAGGUUGGCUAAUCCUGGUCGGACAUCAGGAGGUUAGUGCAAUGGCAUAAGCCAGCUUGACUGCGAGCGUGACGGCGCGAGCAGGUGCGAAAGCAGGUCAUAGUGAUCCGGUGGUUCUGAAUGGAAGGGCCAUCGCUCAACGGAUAAAAGGUACUCCGGGGAUAACAGGCUGAUACCGCCCAAGAGUUCAUAUCGACGGCGGUGUUUGGCACCUCGAUGUCGGCUCAUCACAUCCUGGGGCUGAAGUAGGUCCCAAGGGUAUGGCUGUUCGCCAUUUAAAGUGGUACGCGAGCUGGGUUUAGAACGUCGUGAGACAGUUCGGUCCCUAUCUGCCGUGGGCGCUGGAGAACUGAGGGGGGCUGCUCCUAGUACGAGAGGACCGGAGUGGACGCAUCACUGGUGUUCGGGUUGUCAUGCCAAUGGCACUGCCCGGUAGCUAAAUGCGGAAGAGAUAAGUGCUGAAAGCAUCUAAGCACGAAACUUGCCCCGAGAUGAGUUCUCCCUGACUCCUUGAGAGUCCUGAAGGAACGUUGAAGACGACGACGUUGAUAGGCCGGGUGUGUAAGCGCAGCGAUGCGUUGAGCUAACCGGUACUAAUGAACCGUGAGGCUUAACCUUACAACGCCGAAGCUGUU